GAAUCGGUGGUUCAGUGGUAGAAAGCUCGCCUGUCACGCGGGCGGCCCAAGUUUGAUUCUCGGCCGGUGCA
RNAcentral lists this transfer RNA (71 nucleotides) under Cordylochernes scorpioides. RNAcentral's name for it is "tRNA-Asp". It matches the Rfam family "tRNA". From Rfam's summary of the family: Transfer RNA (tRNA) molecules are approximately 80 nucleotides in length. Lineage: Eukaryota; Metazoa; Arthropoda; Arachnida; Pseudoscorpiones; Chernetidae. The record is from RNAcentral.